This 253-nucleotide ribosomal RNA is filed under the name uncultured Staphylococcus sp. RNAcentral's name for it is "partial 16S ribosomal RNA". It matches the Rfam family "Bacterial small subunit ribosomal RNA", at positions 109 to 355 of the family's 1533-position model. The record is from RNAcentral. Lineage: Bacteria; Bacillati; Bacillota; Bacilli; Caryophanales; Staphylococcaceae.
AGUAACACGUGGAUAACCUACCUAUAAGACUGGGAUAACUUCGGGAAACCGGAGCUAAUACCGGAUAAUAUAUUGAACCGCAUGGUUCAAUAGUGAAAGACGGUUUUGCUGUCACUUAUAGAUGGAUCCGCGCCGCAUUAGCUAGUUGGCAAGGUAACGGCUUACCAAGGCAACGAUGCGUAGCCGACCUGAGAGGGUGAUCGGCCACACUGGAACUGAGACACGGUCCAGACUCCUACGGGAGGCAGCAGCA